RNAcentral lists this ribosomal RNA (484 nucleotides) under uncultured bacterium. RNAcentral's name for it is "partial 16S ribosomal RNA". It matches the Rfam family "Bacterial small subunit ribosomal RNA", at positions 30 to 507 of the family's 1533-position model. The record is from RNAcentral.
AUUGAACGCUGGCGGCAGGCCUAACACAUGCAAGUCGAGCGGAUGAAGGGAGCUUGCUCCUGGAUUCAGCGGCGGACGGGUGAGUAAUGCCUAGGAAUCUGCCUGGUAGUGGGGGAUAACGUCCGGAAACGGGCGCUAAUACCGCAUACGUCCUGAGGGAGAAAGUGGGGGAUCUUCGGACCUCACGCUAUCAGAUGAGCCUAGGUCAGAUUAGCUAGUUGGUGGGGUAAAGGCCUACCAAGGCGACGAUCCGUAACUGGUCUGAGAGGAUGAUCAGUCACACUGGAGCUGAGACACGGUCCAGACUCCUACGGGAGGCAGCAGUGGGGAAUAUUGGACAAUGGGCGAAAGCCUGAUCCAGCCAUGCCGCGUGUGUGAAGAAGGUCUUCGGAUUGUAAAGCACUUUAAGUUGGGAGGAAGGGCAGUAAGUUAAUACCUUGCUGUUUUGACGUUACCAACAGAAUAAGCACCGGCUAACUUCGUG